UGGGGAAUCUUCCGCAAUGGACGAAAGUCUGACGGAGCAACGCCGCGUGAGUGAAGAAGGUUUUCGGAUCGUAAAACUCUGUCUUUUGGGGCGAACGUGAGUAUGGUGAACAAUCAUAGUCAGUGACGGUACCAAAGGAGGAAGCCACGGCUAACUACGUGCCAGCAGCCGCGGUAAUACGUAGGUGGCAAGCGUUGUCCGGAAUUAUUGGGCGUAAAGAGCGCGUAGGCGGGAUAGUCAGUCUGUUGUAAAGUGCGGGGCUCAACCCCGUGAUGGCAAUGGAAACAGCUAUUCUUGAGUGCAGGAGAGGAAAGUGGAAUUCCCAGUGUAGCGGUGAAAUGCGUAGAUAUUGGGAGGAACACCAGUGGCGAAGGCGACUUUCUGGACUGUGUCUGACGCUGAGGCGCGAAAGCCAGGGGAGCGAACGGGAUUAGAUACCCCGGUAGUCCUGGCCGUAAACGAUGGGUACUAGGUGUGGGAGGUAUCGACCCCUUCCGUGCCGGAGUUAACGCAAUAAGUACCCCGCCUGGGGAGUACGGUCGCAAGACUGAAACUCAAAUGAAUUGAC
This 568-nucleotide ribosomal RNA is filed under the name uncultured bacterium. RNAcentral's name for it is "partial 16S ribosomal RNA". It matches the Rfam family "Bacterial small subunit ribosomal RNA", at positions 355 to 914 of the family's 1533-position model. The record is from RNAcentral.